This 3307-nucleotide long non-coding RNA is filed under the name Homo sapiens (human). RNAcentral's name for it is "non-protein coding lnc-BTNL8-6:2". Lineage: Eukaryota; Metazoa; Chordata; Mammalia; Primates; Hominidae. The record is from RNAcentral.
GUCCUCCGGAAGUGGGCCCCGGCAACGCAGCGUUCCACAUCCCGCCCAUUUUUCUACCCAACGUCCCCAGCCCGUCACCACCGCCACCACGGGAGCGAGGGAGGUGGGUCUGCAGGGCCUGAGACUGUUCUACAGCCACUGUUCACAGGGCUGAAGAACAGGUGUGGGCAGAACCAGGUUGUGAGAAGGAAGCCGGGCGCAGAGUAGCGGCCGUACAGGAGGGGGAGGGGCAGAAGAGACUGGCCAGCAGCGGAAGCGCGCGGCAGGUGGAGCCGCGCGGGAAGAAGCACGCAUGCGUCGCGGGGGGGUUGGCCCUUGGGGUGCUGGGCGGAGCUUGGGAGGGGCGAGGACGCUGAAGUAGGGGCGGAACCUGUGCGGUGCAGCCCUGCCCUCUCCCUCCGCCCAAAGGUCGCCCAGCGACGGCCUGCUUGACCUGGUUUCUCAAAAAGGGUGACCCCCCCCCUCCGCCCCACGCUGGUCGCGGGUCCUGGCGAGAAGCCUUUCGGAAAGCACCGGGGCCUGUGUGUUCCCGCUUCCUCGGACGCGAGCUCUGUGUAGCCGUGGUGGAGGAAGGUUUUGUUUCGUUCAUCGCUGCUGUUUCUCGCUGCCUCUCUUGACGAGGCAGGGCCCUUGCAGGGUGCGCCCGCGCUGCCCUCUGACAGGUGCUGUUGGUACCUGCGGCCGGGCCCGCCGUCGCCGGCGCGUGAACGGCCUGCCCGAGGCUGCCGGGAGGAGGGCUGCCUGGCCGGCGCGGCCCUUCCCGUCGUGCCCCGGGCUCCUCGGAAGCAGCCUCCCGCUCCUUCAGACGUCGGACUCCUGAGUUUCGAACCUGCCCCGCGGUUUCCCCCUCACGCUGAAUCCAGGGGAGCCGCUACUCGUUUUUGAAGUUCCUAUGCAGCCCUCUCCCGACAUGUUCGAGAAUCUUGCCGGACUGGGGAUGGAUUUGCAGCCUCCGUGUUUGCCCCCACGGUUCGAAAACCGGAAUCUAGGCCCGGUCUCCUGGCCUGUGUUCUGUCGUGGGAUUUCUCCAGAGCACGGACUGACUUAACAUUUCCAUUACUGGGAAUGUAAUGGUUGCUGCGUCAGGACUCUGGAGAUGAUUUUUUUAUUUGGAACGAUAUAAUUUUUGGAAUUUCCUUAAAGGGAAAAAUACAUAUUGCUUAAUUAUAUUGCUUGGGAUAUAUUAUUGCAAGGAAGAAGAAAAUAAGACCCUUUCUUCCCCCACCUUCAAACCUUCUCCGCCCACCUGUCUUUCCCAUGGGCAUUAAUGGCGGCUCCAUUUACUCAGGCCAGAACCAGAAGAGCCAGCUUCACUCUCUCACCCCCUCUACACAAUCUGACUAGAAAUCCUGUUGACCCUACCUUCAAUCUGUGUCUAGGAUGCAACACCUCAACAUGUCCACACCCCCCUUCAUCCCUCACCUGAACACCUAGGUCUCCCUGCCCUCCCUACCCUCCCAGUCGCUGGGUUUCCGUACAGCAGCCACAGGGAUCCUGUCGUUUCUGUGCUCCAAACUGCACAGCGGCUCCUCAGUUUACUUGAAAUAAAACGCCAAAGUCCUUACAAUGGCUGCAGAGCCGGACAACCCACUGGCCUGCCUAGCUGUCUGACCUGCUCUCCCCUUCCUCUGUUAGCUGCAUUGGCCUCUGCACCGGCUGUUGUCUAUUUGUAAAACACCCCUUCCAGGCAUUUCCAGGACUGAACCCUUCAGCUCUUUCAAAUCUUUCCUCCCAUGUCACCUCAGUGAGGCCUUUCCUGACCAACCUGUUUAAACCUGCCCCUGACCCAGAGCACUGCUAGUCUCCCUUGGCCUGCUCCACUUUUCCCAGGACGCUCACCACUUCCUGAAAUACUCGCCGGGUUUACCAUGUAUUGUCUGUCUCCCACUACUAGAAUUUAAGUUCCCUGAGUGGAGGCACAUUUGAUUUUUGAUUGCUAUAUCCCGGUGGCUGCAACAGUUGGCUGGCCCAUGGUAGCAGCUCAGCACACAUUUGUGGAAUAAAUGAACCAAUGAAUGAACUUGAAAAGCUACUUUCACCGCAGAGUAUUCCCCUUCGGGCUUCUCUCACAUGGAAAUAUAUGAACAUAGGUAUAAGCACAGUAUACAGAUUUUGCAUUAUGAUUUCUAAUCAUACCAUAGAGACUUUACAUAUUUCUAAGUAUUUUCAUAAUUAUAACCAUUUUUACUUAAGUGACCUUCGAUUUUUCGUGCUUGUUAUAACAAGUCAUACAGAGUUGUGUAAAUAAAAAUUUGUCUCCUGUCCCCCUCUCAUCCCACCCUGCUGAAAGGAACCACUUUUAAACUAGUGGAUAUCUUUCCAAAUAUUUUUUAUACACACGCACACACACACAGGCACACACACACACACAUACAUAACAGGUACAAAUUUCACAGUCCAAAGACAGAUAUUCCUGAAUUGUAACUUUAUUUUCUAUAAUUCGAGUCAAUUUGUAUUUUAGGUCUUUCCUCCCAUAGUAGAAAAAUGAAAUCUAGUUUAUUUAAGGUAAAUGUUAGUAUGUAAUGAUGUUUAUUUAUUAAUGAGCAAUUACAAUUUAAUUUCAGUUGCUUCAGAAUUUACUAAUGCCCUUCUCUCCUUUUCACCAUAUAAUUGCCGGUUUUAAAAAAUUAUUAAAAAAUAUGCAAUAAUUACAGGAAAAUAUAAAUGAUAAAAUAAAAAAGCAAAAACCACCUGUAAAACCAGCAGCUAGAAAUAAGUUUAUGAAAAAUAUACUUCUAUGGCAUUUUUAAUGACCAAGUGGCAUACUAUUAUACAAAUGUACCAUAAUUAUCUCCCCUAUUUUUGUACAUUUGGGUUGUUUUCAACUUUUCACUUUUGCAAAAUUACUUGUAGCUAAAUCUGUGUGCACGUCAUUUUUUUUUUUUUUAGGAUAAAGUCUGGGAACUCGUGUCGAAAGGUGUGCUCAUUGUUGAAGGCGUUUGUUUGAUAUGAAAGAUACACAGAAAGAUGGCACAGCUUUGACACCAACUUUUCUCCACACCCUGCACUGUCACACCAUUUUUUGUCAUCUUUGUUAAUAUGAUAGAACGAUGGUUUUGCAUUGUUGUUUUAAGUUUUAUUCCACUAAUUGCUAGUAAUGUUGAACCUGUUUUUAUGCAUCACUUUUGCAGAUUGCCUACAGCAUAUCUUUUGCCCACUUGGAUUCAUCUUUGUCUUAUUCAUUUGCAAGAACUCUUUAUAGAAUAUCAGCCCUUUGUUACCUAUGUUACAGCAAUUUUCCCAGUUUGUCAUUUGCUUUUUAAGUCUGUUUAUGUGCUCUUUUGACAUUGCAGUAGUCACCGCUAGC